CGUCGGUCAACUCGUCGUUUUGUGUAGGUUUGUUUGCCGUUUAACUUGCCUUGCAGGUUUUUUCGCCAUUCAUCUCAUUGUCAUCGUGGAUCUAUAGAUCUAGUCGUGGAUUUUUCAGAUCUGGUCGUCUAUUUGCCCGAUCUACUCGUGGGUCUUCCGAUCCUGUCGUUGGCGUGGUGAUUCCCAAAAUUUUCGAUCCAAGUCUUUCGAUCUGGUGGUUGUGGGUUUUUGAAAUCCGAUCGUUCAAGCUCGCCGUGCAGGAUUGUGUUUGGUGAAUCUGAUGGAAGAAAUGCCUCAACUCACAGAUCUGUUCGGGUCCCAGUGGAAGGUUGGGUUUUGGCAAUGGAGCUGGUAGCUAUGGAAGGAGUAGCAACUCAAACCUUACUUAGAAAGUAUCGUCUUAUCAGCAAUUCAAUUAAUUUUUAGUGGAAUGAGUUAGCAACUUAAUUGAAGAGACUGUUAGCCGUUUUUCUUUUCUUUUAGCUUAUGGGAAUAUUAUAAAUCCAAGUUUGUUAGAACUACGACUUUGCAAGAAUAAAUUUUGUUAUUCUUUUUGAGAGCUAA
Benincasa hispida (wax gourd) is the source of this 564-nucleotide long non-coding RNA. RefSeq lists it as uncharacterized. Lineage: Eukaryota; Viridiplantae; Streptophyta; Magnoliopsida; Cucurbitales; Cucurbitaceae. The record is from RefSeq and is a predicted model, not a curated record.